AGAAUCCUGAGAUGUACGUGAAAACAAUACGUUUUGAGCCAACAUUUUUUUGAAAGGGAGCCACAGUUGGACAUUGGAUUACAUGCCUUUAUAAGUGAGUUCGUCUCCUUUAAAAAGGAAGUAUGAGAAUGCUCACAUCGCACCCACCUGUCAAGACAGGUUCAAAACUAAAGGAAUAAAACGGCAUUAUUGGGAUUCUU
RNAcentral lists this non-coding RNA (200 nucleotides) under bacterium LRH843. RNAcentral's name for it is "6S RNA". It matches the Rfam family "6S / SsrS RNA". From Rfam's summary of the family: E. coli 6S RNA was the first non coding RNA to be sequenced, but its function was unknown until recently. It consists of 184 nucleotides that fold into an extended hairpin structure with a large single-stranded internal bulge. The record is from RNAcentral.